Molecule: long non-coding RNA, 3190 nt
Organism: Bombyx mori (domestic silkworm)
Lineage: Eukaryota; Metazoa; Arthropoda; Insecta; Lepidoptera; Bombycidae
Exons: 2
Source: RefSeq, a predicted model, not a curated record
GUAAAAUACAUAUGACGGCGUUAACGAUAUUUAUGUUAUAUAGCACGUGCAAUAGGAGUGACUCACACAAGCCAGGCGCGCCGGCCGUGUCGUUCCACUCGUAAACAACAGCUGCAACAGAAGUGACUCAUAAGCCAGCUGCGCCGGCUAGUAUAAAAAGGCGGAACGUGCCUUGAAAUGAACAUUCGUUGGACUGCGCUUGCCCAGUGCACUUACUAUAUCCUUGUUACGUUGUGUGAUUCAGUGACUGUUGUACGUACUGGUUAAAGUUGGACAAGUGUUAAAGUGAAUUGUUAAGAUAACAACAUAUUGUUGAUUAAAUCAGGAAUCAAAAGGUGACAUCGUUUUACUUGGUGUUCAACAAGAUAAUGUCUACCCUCAAGCUUACAUCAGAAGUGAGAUCAGGACUCUACUCUCACUGGCGUGACGUGUUUGAACAUGUUCGAAGUACAGCAAAAAAAACAUGAUGCAGAUCAGAAUACUAGUAGUGGUACGCCACAAGAGCGUGAAUGCAGCAUACGUAAGUCGUGUAAUAACGUCUCUGUUACCUCGAUUGAAGAUCUGAGCCACGAAGAAAUCGUCACAUCUUACGUUCUGGCUCAUGUUGCCCAGUUUGACUGUCGACGUCAUCACAUGGCGUUUACUAACGGAAAUACAACACGUAACAAGCUAUUGCAAGAAAUUAAGGCAAGUGCAAAUCUCAAGUGAAACUUCGAUCGCAAUAAUGGAUCUGUCACGACGAGUGGGUAGUUCCGACACGAAUCGUUUUUAAGCCAAUGACUACUGCUAGUGUUACAUGGCACUAGUACAGUAAACCAGGACAUGAGACUGUGAAUUGUCGCUGAAAUUUUAGAAUCUACUCGAUUCAAUACCAAUAACACUACACGUUCGAUGACUUCGGGCUCCAGCAAGCAAGCAAACAAGAAAGCAAGCAAGUUUCCGUGGGGAAGAAAAAUUGACACAUCUGAAGUCGUCGUGACCUGUAAGAUAAGACGUCCGGUGCGUUCGUGUCUGGCGAUGCGGCGGUGUUCGGGUUCCGCUGGCGGAUGCAGGUUUUUCCGGUGAAGUGCGUGCUUGUGCGUGCUUGACAAGUGUUCGCGGUUGGCUUCCUCAGUGUGGGAGUAACAUCGUGUAAGAAAGGUGGAACCCGUAAAAUUGCAGUUUGCGUGGUGGCUGGUAAGAUUUGUUGCGGUAAGAAGUUUGCAUGGUGGUAAAAUGUCUUGUGAGUCUGCACAGGUAGCCGGAGGUGAGACUUCCGCGGUCGCGGCCCACCCAGUCCGCGAGAACCGGGCAGAUCGCCUCGACGGUACAGAGGCCGGCUGACGGGUCCGCCAAACGACGAGACCACGCCUCCAGCACGGACUGCCGAUAUUGGAGCCCCCGCGCUCCGGCUGCACUUGCGCUAGGGCGCGCCGCCUCGUAGGAGACUGUGAGGUGCUGUGGCAGGUCCAACCAGAGACGUCAACGUGUGUUCCAGAGCUUCAGUGUGUUACAGAUAAGUGGUUUUGGCUUCCCCUUUAUGUUCCAUUCAGGGUCAGGAUGUAGUCUUAUAAAACAAAGCCAUAGUAAUUUAUUCAAUGGUAAGCGGUUUCAUGAACAAGUCACUCUUUGAUCUGAAAGUAGCUCGGACCAAUCAUGGCAAGAGCAGUUAGGGGAUAUUCAACUCGCCCUUAAUAGUGCACGUUGUCGAGUAACAGGGUUUACUCCAAUAGAAUAGACGUUUGCCGUUCAGGGUAGUUCACUUGAAAUAUCUUAAAGUUUCAACAGAGUGAUAAUCCCUCUAGAUUAGAUCUUGAUUUAGCACGGUCGAAGACUGGCGAAAACAUAAAAAAGGGCACAAACAGAAGCUUGGUUUAGUCGAGGCAAAGCUAAAGUCAAACUCUUUUCCGGGAUUUUGUUUUCGUAAGUUGACCGAAAAUGUAAAGGUCCCUUCAACAUUACUGCAGUUUUGGAAAACGAUAGGUAUAAAUUGAGACAUGUAAAUAGUUCUAAUAGAGUGUACAAAUUUCCCCAUGAAAACUUACGUGAAAUACCUCGAGGCCCGUCAGGCCUACUAGAAAUUUCUGAAAAUUAUAGUGACGAUGACGUGACGGCGUACACGGAUGGGUUAAUUAAUCUUGUUCAUGAAACUGAUCUUAAUGAUGACGACUCUAUCACUGACAAUAGAAGUGACAUUUUUGUCCGCAAAUAGCGAUACAGCAAACAUAGUCUGUGGGUAGUGAUACAAUGUCUGUAAGCUCAGGCACCUCAGGUGCAGGUGUUGGAAAUGUAGAAAACGAUGGUCAGUCUCGCACUAUUUCUGAAGAAAUUCCGUAUAAAUGUUCUGGUUUAAGAAAUGUUUUAACAAACGCUACCGUACAGGAAAAUAAAAAAAAAUAAAAUAAAAAAAAGAGAAUUGUAUGUGGCUAGAGAGAUGUUAAUCCGGACUAGCAAAAAAAAAAGAGGAAAAAAAAAAAGAAAGUGUGAAGUCAUUGAAGGGUCUGUCCGGUCCAAUGGCUUGGCUAUAGGGAUUUUCAUCCAGAUUAGCCACAACAAUUAGCUACAGGGAUUGCGAUUCGGUCUAGCAUUAUCCGGUCCAGUUCGAAAAACUGAAGGGAUAACAAUUCCGGUCUAAGUUAAAAGGGACAUACUUACAUACCUGAAGAGUUUUAAAUGAACUGGCCCAGGUAUGUAAGCAGUCUGAAGGUUAUUUAUAGCCAGUAUAGGAUUUUCUGAAGAAUUAUGCGAACCGAACCGUACUAGAUUGUUAAUAUCAUAGACCACGUUUUAAGUUGCAUCCGUUAAUGUCAGGAUGAACGAACACGUUUGUUGUUCACAGACAUACCAUAAGAAUGCGCGCACGAGGACGAGCGCACGUCAGUAUGGCCGUGACGGCGUUAACGAUAUUUAUGUUAUAUAGCACGUGCAAUAGGAGUGACUCACACAAGCCAGGCGCGCCGGCCGUGUCGUUCCACUCGUAAACAACAGCUGCAACAGAAGUGACUCAUAAGCCAGCUGCGCCGGCUAGUAUAAAAAGGCGGAACGUGCCUUGAAAUGAACAUUCGUUGGACUGCGCUUGCCCAGUGCACUUACUAUAUCCUUGUUACGUUGUGUGAUUCAGUGACUGUUGUACGUACUGGUUAAAGUUGGACAAGUGUUAAAGUGAAUUGUUAAGAUAACAACAUAUUGUUGAUUAAAUCAGGAAUCAAAA